GACGAACGCUGGCGGCGUGCCUAAUACAUGCAAGUAGGACGCACAGUUUAUACCGUAGCUUGCUACACCAUAGACUGUGAGUUGCGAACGGGUGAGUAACGCGUAGGUAACCUGCCUAUUAGAGGGGGAUAACUAUUGGAAACGAUAGCUAAUACCGCAUAACAGUAUGUAACACAUGUUAGAUGCUUGAAAGAUGCAAUUGCAUCGCUAGUAGAUGGACCUGCGUUGUAUUAGCUAGUAGGUAGGGUAAAGGCCUACCUAGGCAACGAUACAUAGCCGACCUGAGAGGGUGAUCGGCCACACUGGGACUGAGACACGGCCCAGACUCCUACGGGAGGCAGCAGUAGGGAAUCUUCGGCAAUGGGGGGAACCCUGACCGAGCAACGCCGCGUGAGUGAAGAAGGUUUUCGGAUCGUAAAGCUCUGUUGUUAAGGAAGAACGAGUGUGAGAAUGGAAAGUUCAUACUGUGACGGUACUUAACCAGAAAGGGACGGCUAACUACGUGCCAGCAGCCGCGGUAAUACGUAGGUCCCGAGCGUUGUCCGGAUUUAUUGGGCGUAAAGCGAGCGCAGGCGGUUAGAAAAGUCUGAAGUGAAAGGCAGUGGCUCAACCAUUGUAGGCUUUGGAAACUGUUUAACUUGAGUGCAGAAGGGGAGAGUGGAAUUCCAUGUGUAGCGGUGAAAUGCGUAGAUAUAUGGAGGAACACCGGUGGCGAAAGCGGCUCUCUGGUCUGUAACUGACGCUGAGGCUCGAAAGCGUGGGGAGCGAACAGGAUUAGAUACCCUGGUAGUCCACGCCGUAAACGAUGAGUGCUAGGUGUUAGGUCCUUUCCGGGACUUAGUGCCGCAGCUAACGCAUUAAGCACUCCGCCUGGGGAGUACGACCGCAAGGUUGAAACUCAAAGGAAUUGGCGGGGGCCCGCACAAGCGGUGGAGCAUGUGGUUUAAUUCGAAGCAACGCGAAGAACCUUACCAGGUCUUGACAUCCCGAUGCUAUUUCUAGAGAUAGGAAGUUCCUUCCGAACAUC
This 1027-nucleotide ribosomal RNA is filed under the name Streptococcus anginosus. RNAcentral's name for it is "bacterial SSU rRNA". It matches the Rfam family "Bacterial small subunit ribosomal RNA", at positions 28 to 1030 of the family's 1533-position model. The record is from RNAcentral. Lineage: Bacteria; Bacillati; Bacillota; Bacilli; Lactobacillales; Streptococcaceae.